AUUCCUUUAGUAGACAAGGAUGUGUCAGAUUAUAAGAUGAUUAAUUAUUGAGAGAUGAUUGGGGUAAUCAUUUUACCUUUACAAAAUCAAUUACAAAAAUUGCUCUCUUUAAUUCAUCCAGUAUUUUGUUUUUGUAAUUUUUUAUGGUUCUAUCAGCAAGAACUUUAUUUAAAAAAUUAAAGCUACCUGGCUGGUAUCAUAAAAGCAGUAAUUUUUGACAAAGGAAGAGAAUGUAAAGCUACAAUGAAGAGCAGUUUAUAUUCAAGUUUUCUUCAGAAGACUCACAAGAAAUUGAAAGAGAAAAGGAAGGUAUACAUUUGCCAGAAAAUUAGAAUGAGAGAGAUGGGGAAGGAAAAGGAAAUAUGGUCUUACAAAAACUGUGUCCCCAUGGCAAUGUGGCAGCAAAAACGAACCCCAAGACCUCCAGACAUUGUGUCAUUCUUGCAUCAGUGAUCAUAUCCAAUGGGAAAUGGUUUGCCAAUUGGCUGGCCAGAGAUACCUGGUCAAAUUCUGAAAGGAGCAGAAUUAAGGCAUGUAAUUAAUAGUUUUAAAAGAUGGAAAAUAUACAAAUGCUAAAAGAAAAGAGAAAUUCUUCUGUUAGGAGAAGAGCAAAGAAUGUGUUUUAUAAAACAACAUAGAGAAUUAUUGUUGAGAGAUUCUUCAUCUAGUUCUUUCUGUUUGUUAUAUAAUAAUGUAUACUGCCUUAAGAACAGAAAAUCAGAAUAGACAUGGAAUUUACUUAGUGUAAAUUCAGACUCCCUAGUUAGACCACAACGAGCUGGUCUUCUUUGAAGUCUACUCUAUUAGGAAUGACUAUUCUUCUCACUUAAUAGAUGUAAAUGGUAGACAUAAGACAGCACUAUAUGUGACUAUUGGGAUAGAACAUGUUCUUUUGGAUAUCUUCCUGGCUGUAGCUAUAAUUUGUCAGAUGGAAGGAGCUCAGCAUAUAAGAAACAGGAACGUUUAUGACCUAGAUUUAGUAAGUUUGAGUUAGGAAAUGCCGUUAUGCAAAUACCAUUUAGGGCUUUCGGUAAUCUGUGAGACUGUGAUUAUUCAUUUCAAAAACAGAAAGAAGUCAGAAAAUCUGAGUUACUAGUGUUAUAACUCAAAUAAGACAGACAUAGGCACUGCUUUUGCAGAGCUUAAAUUAUGGGGGUGGAUUUAAACAAGCAGAGAAGCUGAUCCAAUAGUGAAAUAAGAGCUACCAUGAGAGAAAUGUCAGGUAUCAUAGGAGAUAGUGUUAACCUGAAUAUACAAUGAGUUAUUCAAGAUGAAAGAAUAGAUAACAUUUGGAAAGGGGUGAGGACAAUGUGUGAG
RNAcentral lists this long non-coding RNA (1317 nucleotides) under Homo sapiens (human). RNAcentral describes it as "HSALNT0179664". The record is from RNAcentral. Lineage: Eukaryota; Metazoa; Chordata; Mammalia; Primates; Hominidae.